Molecule: small nucleolar RNA, 107 nt
Organism: Sorghum bicolor (sorghum)
Lineage: Eukaryota; Viridiplantae; Streptophyta; Magnoliopsida; Poales; Poaceae
Rfam family: Plant small nucleolar RNA R71
About the family: R71 is a member of the C/D box family of snoRNAs containing the C (UGAUGA) and D (CUGA) box motifs. Multiple nearly identical copies of this snoRNA have been identified in Arabidopsis, and it is thought to function as a 2'-O-ribose methylation guide for 18S ribosomal RNA.
Source: Rfam
AUUCCAUGAUGGGAAUAUUCUAGGAUGUAGUCUUGAAAGCGCUCCCAUGCUUCUGGAACAGAUUCAUCAUUUUGUUGCUGAAAACUUGUAAUCUUCCCACGGAGAGC